RNAcentral lists this ribosomal RNA (253 nucleotides) under uncultured bacterium. RNAcentral's name for it is "partial 16S ribosomal RNA". It matches the Rfam family "Bacterial small subunit ribosomal RNA", at positions 524 to 776 of the family's 1533-position model. The record is from RNAcentral.
UACAGAGGGUGCAAGCGUUGUUCGGAAUUAUUGGGCGUAAAGCGCGUGUAGGCGGCAUAGCAAGUCGGGUGUGAAAGCCCUCAGCUUAACUGAGGAAGUGCGCCCGAAACUGCUGUGCUUGAGUGCCGGAGAGGAUGGCGGAAUUCCCCAAGUAGAGGUGAAAUUCGUAGAUAUGGGGAGGAACACCGGUGGCGUAGGCGGCCAUCUGGACGGUAACUGACGCUGAGACGCGAAAGCGUGGGUAGCAAACAGG